GAAUCGAUAGCUCAGUGGCAGAGCGGUGGGGCGUUGGCCCAUGCGGCCAGAAUUCGAGCCCCGGUCGAUACA
Molecule: non-coding RNA, 72 nt
Organism: Phthorimaea operculella (potato tuberworm)
Lineage: Eukaryota; Metazoa; Arthropoda; Insecta; Lepidoptera; Gelechiidae
Source: the annotation of a GenBank genome assembly